This 1219-nucleotide ribosomal RNA is filed under the name uncultured Rhizaria. RNAcentral describes it as "SSU rRNA". It matches the Rfam family "Eukaryotic small subunit ribosomal RNA", at positions 577 to 1805 of the family's 1831-position model. The record is from RNAcentral.
CGGUAAUUCCAGCUCCAAUAGCGUAUACUAAAGUUGUUGCAGUUAAAAAGCUCGUAGUUGGAUUUCUGCGGGGACGGAGCGGCCGGACGCAACUUGCGUCUCGAGCUAGCGCUUUCCCCGCAUCCUGCCGCGAACCGUGCUACCAUUAGUUUGGUGGCGCUGGGGAUCGGCUCGAUUACUUUGAGAAAAAUAGAGUGUUCAAAGCAGGCCACACGCCUUGAAUAAGUUAGCAUGGAAUAAUGACUAAGGACUUUGGUUCUUUUCGUUGGUGUUCGGGACUGAAGUAAUGAUUGAUAGGGACAGUUGGGGCGGUCCGUAUUCCAAAGCGAGAGGUGAAAUUCUUAGACCUUCGGAAGACGAACAGCUGCGAAAGCGUUCCGCAAGGAUGUUCCCUUUGAUCAAGAACGAAAGUUGGGGGAUCGAAGACGAUCAGAUACCGUCGUAGUCUCAACUAUAAACUAUACCAGCUAGGGAUCGGCCAACGUUUAACUUUAUCGACUUGGUCGGCACCUUAUGAGAAAUCAAAGCAUCUGGGUUCCGGGGGGAGUAUGGUCGCAAGGCUGAAACUUAAAGGAAUUGACGGAAGGGCACCACCAGCCGUGGAGCCUGUGGCUUAAUUUGACUCAACACGGGAAAACUUACCAGGUCCAGACAUAGGAAGGAUUGACAGAUUGAUAGCUCUUUCUUGAUUCUGUGGGUGGUGGUGCAUGGCCGUUUUUAGUCGGUGGAUGUGAUCUGUCUGCUUAAUUGCGUUAACGGACGAGACCCCAGCCUGCUAAAUAGCGCGGCCGAGCUUUGCUCGGUGCGAGCUUCUUAGAGGGACCAUGAUGCGCGAUAGCACAAGGAAGUUUGGGGCAACAACAGGUCUGUGAUGCCCUUAGAUGUUCUGGGCCGCACACGGGCUACACUGGCGCCUGCAACGAGCAUAUCAGCUGGCCCGAGAGGGUCUUGGCUAAUCUUUGGAACCGGCGCCGUGCUUGGGAUUGACCAUUGCAAUUGUUGGUCAUGCAACGAGGAAUGCCUUGUAAACGCGAGUCAUCAGCUCGCAUUGAAUACGUCCCUGCCCUUUGUACACACCGCCCGUCGCUCCUACCGAUGAAUGUUCCGAUGAAAUUUUCGGAGAGCACCAGAGAACGGGGCUCUGCCUUGCAGAACUGGAGGCUCAAAGUCACUUAAAUCUGAACAUUUCGAGGAAGGAGAAGUCGUAACAAGGUAGCCG